AACGUAGGGGGCCAGCGUUGCUCGGAAUUACUGGGCGUAAAGGGUCCGUAGGCGGUGUGGCAAGUCGGAAGUGAAAUCUCUGGGCUUAACCCAGAGGCUGCUUCCGAAACUGCUGUGCUAGAGGAUGAGAGAGGCGAGUGGAAUUGCGGGUGUAGCGGUGAAAUGCGUAGAUAUCCGCAGGAACAUCCGAGGCGAAGGCGGCUCGCUGGAUCAUUUCUGACGCUGAGGGACGAAAGCUAGGGGAGCAAACAG
This 252-nucleotide ribosomal RNA is filed under the name uncultured bacterium. RNAcentral's name for it is "partial 16S ribosomal RNA". It matches the Rfam family "Bacterial small subunit ribosomal RNA", at positions 524 to 775 of the family's 1533-position model. The record is from RNAcentral.